Ictalurus punctatus (channel catfish) is the source of this 415-nucleotide long non-coding RNA. The record is from Ensembl. Lineage: Eukaryota; Metazoa; Chordata; Actinopteri; Siluriformes; Ictaluridae.
AGAAGGGGGCGAGAGCAGGGGUAAACAGCACUGAAAGAGAAAAGGAAGUGAGAAUGAAAGAGGAAAAGUGUUUGAAAGAAGACGAUAAGAAGAGUCCAGAAACCAGAAAGUCCUCUGUCCCAAGUUGUUCAACUUACACUGAUGGUUACAAAGUGCUGACACUGGAGACUCCUUCCAUAAAUAUUAAAUAAAUAAAUCUCUCCUUACUGAAAUCAUCAACUAUUAUAUGUUUUUAUUUGAAGUAAUUAAAGACCACCUGAAAUCAGUACCACCAGACACUGAGGAUCUUCCAUGGAGAAUCCCCGCCAGGCUUGUAUCAUGCCUGUUUUCACUCCCUGCUUGUUUAAGUCUUAUCUUAAGUGAAAUGCAGCUCAGUUUGGAUUCAGUCUUCCUGUCUGCCUCUUCCACCCACAUC